RNAcentral lists this ribosomal RNA (520 nucleotides) under uncultured Glomus. Its description in RNAcentral is "SSU rRNA". It matches the Rfam family "Eukaryotic small subunit ribosomal RNA", at positions 569 to 1091 of the family's 1831-position model. Lineage: Eukaryota; Fungi; Glomeromycota; Glomeromycetes; Glomerales; Glomeraceae. The record is from RNAcentral.
AGCAGCCGCGGUAAUUCCAGCUCCAAUAGCGUAUAUUAAAGUUGUUGCAGUUAAAAAGCUCGUAGUUGAAUUUCGGGGUUAGUAGGUUGGUCAUGCCUCUGGUAUGUACUGGUCUCACUGAUUCCUCCUUCCUGAUGAACCUUAAUGCCAUUAAUUUGGUGUUUUGGGGAAUUUGGACUGUUACUUUGAAAAAAAUUAGAGUGUUUAAAGCAAGCUAACGCUUAAAUACAUUAGCAUGGAAUAAUGAAAUAGGACGUUCGAUCCUAUUUUGUUGGUUUCUAGGAUUGACGUAAUGAUUAAUAGGGAUAGUUGGGGGCAUUAGUAUUCAAUUGUCAGAGGUGAAAUUCUUGGAUUUAUUGAAGACUAACUACUGCGGAAGCAUUUGCCAAGGAUGUUUUCAUUAAUCAAGAACGAAAGUUAGGGGAUCGAAGACGAUCAGAUACCGUCGUAGUCUUAACCAUAAACUAUGCCGACUAGGGAUCGGAUGAUGUUAUUUUUAAUGACUCAUUCGGCGCCUUAC